This 696-nucleotide long non-coding RNA is filed under the name Volvox carteri. RNAcentral describes it as "long non-coding RNA (VCAR_LNC001390)". The record is from RNAcentral. Lineage: Eukaryota; Viridiplantae; Chlorophyta; Chlorophyceae; Chlamydomonadales; Volvocaceae.
UUUAAUUCCAUCAAAGGUCUCCGUGGAAAUCAUCAUGGGCACCGUCAGGUGCCGUAUUUAGGUUCUACCUACAGCCCGGCGUUCUUUAGUCCUGAGCCACACGCAUAAUGCGUCGGAACGCGUUCAAUAGCCAAAACAAUUAUGGCCAUUGCAUGGGAUGCACAGAAAUGCCCUCUUACAGCCUGCCUCUGAAGCUGGUCCCACCUGCUGCUUUGUGCACAAGGCGAGGAGUGGGACGUGUUACCCGCCCAGGAGACCUGUCAAGGAAGACCGAAACCCUGUCCUGUCUGCCGAACAUCUGUGAUGGGGGGAAUGGGCACCACGGCGGGCGAACUAUGUUUCUCGAUCGAAUGCUUUGAAAGGGUUGGGUGGUCUACAGUUUACAAAGCCUCCGCACGUCGUCAUUUCCCUAUUAUAUUCACAACAGUAUUUAAAUGAAUCGGGAAUUUGUUGGAUGUGACGUUCAGGGAGAUGACGACCGCGGAGCGGCCAUCCAUCUAUCUCGGACUGGUGAAAACUUCACGCGGCCGGAGGGCAGCGUGUCUGCUUUAGUGCGCGGGGUUGGGAGAACGUGCUGUACUAAGUAGAACGUAGAGCGUGCUUUGUGUAGGAUGUGAUGAAUCUGCUGCAUACUGGCGCUGUACUCGCUGUUGCAGACUUACGCGCUGUUCUGUGCCAUACGGUAUACGGCUUCCC